GAUCCUGGCUCAGGAUGAACGCUGGCGGCGUGCCUAACACAUGCAAGUCGAACGAGGUAAAUAAGUUGAAGUUUUCGGAUGGAUUCUUAUUUGCCGAGUGGCGGACGGGUGAGUAACGCGUGGGUAACCUGCCUCAUACAGGGGGAUAACGGUUAGAAAUGACUGCUAAUACCGCAUAAGCGCACAGUACCGCAUGGUACAGUGUGAAAAACUCCGGUGGUAUGAGAUGGACCCGCGUCUGAUUAG
This 246-nucleotide ribosomal RNA is filed under the name uncultured bacterium. RNAcentral describes it as "partial 16S ribosomal RNA". It matches the Rfam family "Bacterial small subunit ribosomal RNA", at positions 15 to 244 of the family's 1533-position model. The record is from RNAcentral.